This 23-nucleotide microRNA is filed under the name Haemonchus contortus (barber pole worm). RNAcentral's name for it is "hco-miR-5903". The record is from miRBase by way of RNAcentral. Lineage: Eukaryota; Metazoa; Nematoda; Chromadorea; Rhabditida; Trichostrongylidae.
UACCGGGAUAUGGAACGUCUGAA